RNAcentral lists this ribosomal RNA (440 nucleotides) under uncultured bacterium. RNAcentral describes it as "partial 16S ribosomal RNA". It matches the Rfam family "Bacterial small subunit ribosomal RNA", at positions 338 to 795 of the family's 1533-position model. The record is from RNAcentral.
CCUACGGGUGGCAGCAGUGGGGAAUAUUGGACAAUGGGGGAAACCCUGAUCCAGCGACGCCGCGUGAGUGAAGAAGUAUUUCGGUACGUAAAGCUCUAUCAGCAGGAAAGAAAAUGACGGUACCUGACUAAGAAGCCCCGGCUAACUACGUGCCAGCAGCCGCGGUAAUACGUAGGGGGCAAGCGUUAUCCGGAUUCACUGGGUGUAAAGGGAGCGUAGACGGCGAGACAAGUCUGGAGUGAAAGGCCGGGGCCCAACCCCGGGACUGCUCUGGAAACUGCCUGGCUGGAGUACAGGAGAGGUAAGUGGAAUUCCUAGUGUAGCGGUGAAAUGCGUAGAUAUUAGGAGGAACACCAGUGGCGAAGGCGGCUUACUGGACUGUAACUGACGUUGAGGCUCGAAAGCGUGGGGAGCAAACAGGAUUAGAUACCCUUGUAGUC